AUGGCUUUUGAUGCAAUAAUGGAAUCAGCUGAGAGAGGACUUGGAAAACAGAUAUUUGUAGAAGGCUAUGGUGGCACAGGGAAAACCUAUCUAUGGAAAGCAAUUACAACGAAGCUACAAUCAGAGGGAAAGAUAGUGCUUGCGGUAGCAUCAUCUGGCAUUGCAGCUUUGCUGCUCCAAGGUGGAAGAACAGCGCACUCAAGAUUCCACAUUCCAAUAAAUAUCACAGAAGAAUCAACAUGUGAAAUAAAACAAGGCUCACAUUUGGCUGAACUGGUAAAGAAGACCUCACUGAUACUGUGGGACGAGGCUCCUAUGGCAAACAAAAACUGCUUUGAGGCACUAGACAAAAGCCUUAGGGAUAUUCUAAGGUUCACAAACCAAAAUAGUGACGAAAGGCCAUUUGGUGGUAUGACAGUUGUGCUAGGAGGCGACUUCAGACAAAUACUUCCAGUGAUAACAAAGGGAAAGAGAGAGCACAUAGUAAAUGCCUCAAUCAAAAGGUCAUACCUAUGGAAGGACUUUCAAAUAUUUAGACUAACUGAAAACAUGCGGCUGAAGUGCCUGUCAGAAGAUCCAAUACAAAGGCAAAAUGUGGCUGAAUUUGCAGAAUGGAUAUUACAAAUUGGCGAUGGAAAAAAAACAAACGAUGAUGGAGAUGAUUGGGUAAGAAUACCUAAAGACAUAAUUCUACAUAAAGGAGAAGACCCCAAAGAAGAGAUAGUCAAAAGCACGUACCCAAACUUGCAACAAAACUAUCGUGACCGUGAAUUUCUCGAAGAAAGAGCAAUACUAUGCCCAAGGAAUGAAACAGUUGAGAAGAUAAAUGACUACAUAAUGAGCCAAAUACAAGGUGAAGAGGUGACAUACCUAAGCUUGGACACUAUAUGCAAGGCAACAAUGAAGUACAACACAAUGGAGAAUAUGUGUCCAACGGAGUUCCUUAACAAGAUGACCUUCCCAGGAAUUCCAAACCACGAGCUUAAACUGAAGGUAGGUUUGCCGGUGAUGCUCCUACGAAACAUCAAUCAAGCGGCAGGUUUAUGCAAUGGCACAAGAAUGACUAUCACACAGCUGGAAACAGGUACAUUGAAGCACAAAUAA
RNAcentral lists this ribosomal RNA (1104 nucleotides) under Triticum aestivum (bread wheat). Its description in RNAcentral is "partial small subunit ribosomal RNA". The record is from RNAcentral. Lineage: Eukaryota; Viridiplantae; Streptophyta; Magnoliopsida; Poales; Poaceae.